RNAcentral lists this transfer RNA (73 nucleotides) under Neotoma lepida (desert woodrat). It matches the Rfam family "tRNA". Rfam says of the family: Transfer RNA (tRNA) molecules are approximately 80 nucleotides in length. Their secondary structure includes four short double-helical elements and three loops (D, anti-codon, and T loops). The record is from Rfam by way of RNAcentral. Lineage: Eukaryota; Metazoa; Chordata; Mammalia; Rodentia; Cricetidae.
UGGGGUGUGGCUCUAGCUGGUAGAGUGCCUGCCUCACAAACAGGAAGCCUGGGCUAGAUUCCCAGCACUGCAU